This 444-nucleotide ribosomal RNA is filed under the name uncultured bacterium. RNAcentral describes it as "partial 16S ribosomal RNA". It matches the Rfam family "Bacterial small subunit ribosomal RNA", at positions 354 to 796 of the family's 1533-position model. The record is from RNAcentral.
GUAGGGAAUAUUGGGCAAUGGUCGGAAGACUGACCCAGCCAUGCCGCGUGCACGAAGACGGCCCUCUGGGUUGUAAACUGCUUUUAUCUGGGAAGAAAAAGGCCAUGCGUGGCAAAUUGCCGGUACCAGAUGAAUAAGCACCGGCUAACUCCGUGCCAGCAGCCGCGGUAAUACGGAGGGUGCGAGCGUUGUCCGGAUUUAUUGGGUUUAAAGGGUGCGUAGGCGGCUGAUUAAGUCAGCGGUGAAAGACUUCGGCUUAACCGGAGCAGUGCCGUUGAUACUGGUUGGCUUGAGUGUCGGAGGGGUACAUGGAAUUGAUGGUGUAGCGGUGAAAUGCAUAGAUACCAUCAGGAACACCGAUAGGGAAGGCAUUGUACUGGCCGACAACUGACGCUGAUGCACGAAAGUGUGGGGGUCGAACAGGAUUAGAUACCCUGGUAGUCC